This 29-nucleotide non-coding RNA is filed under the name Bombyx mori (domestic silkworm). The record is from RNAcentral. Lineage: Eukaryota; Metazoa; Arthropoda; Insecta; Lepidoptera; Bombycidae.
UGAGCUUGUCGCGCCGAAGAUUAUGGAUC